RNAcentral lists this transfer RNA (70 nucleotides) under Dipodomys ordii (Ord's kangaroo rat). It matches the Rfam family "tRNA". Rfam says of the family: Transfer RNA (tRNA) molecules are approximately 80 nucleotides in length. Their secondary structure includes four short double-helical elements and three loops (D, anti-codon, and T loops). Lineage: Eukaryota; Metazoa; Chordata; Mammalia; Rodentia; Heteromyidae. The record is from Rfam by way of RNAcentral.
GGGAAUGUGGUUCAGUGGUAGAGUGCUUGCCUAGCAUGCAUGAAGCCCUGGGUUCGAUUCCUCAGUACCA